CCGUGCCCAAGAGAUCGGGAUAACACCUGGAAACAGAUGCUAAUACCGGAUAACAACAGAUGAUGCCUAUCAACUGUUUAAAAGAUGGUUCUGCUAUCACUCUUGGAUGGACCUGCGGUGCAUUAGCUAGUUGGUAGGGUAACGGCCUACCAAGGCGAUGAUGCAUGGCCGAGUUGAGAGACUGAUCGGCCACAUUGGGACUGAGACACGGCCCAAACUCCUACGGGAGGCAGCAGUA
RNAcentral lists this ribosomal RNA (238 nucleotides) under uncultured Lactobacillus sp. RNAcentral's name for it is "partial 16S ribosomal RNA". It matches the Rfam family "Bacterial small subunit ribosomal RNA", at positions 125 to 355 of the family's 1533-position model. The record is from RNAcentral. Lineage: Bacteria; Bacillati; Bacillota; Bacilli; Lactobacillales; Lactobacillaceae.